This 6113-nucleotide long non-coding RNA is filed under the name Paramuricea clavata. The record is from RNAcentral. Lineage: Eukaryota; Metazoa; Cnidaria; Anthozoa; Malacalcyonacea; Plexauridae.
UUUUUUGGAUGCUCAGAAUGCAGAAAAUAGCAUUUCACGGUUUCAAAUUUCAAACAUUUUCUUGGGAUUAUCCCUCUAAUAAGUAAUGAUAAAUUACAGUUAAUAUUCUUUUUUACUUUUUGUGCAUUUUUCCAUCUUUUAUUUCAAAUACAACUAUAGUUAGCAUAAAUUUUAGAGCAAAUUUGGAUGCUCAGAAUGCAGGAAAUGGCAUUUCCGUGGUUCAAAUUUCAAAAUUUUUCUGGGGGAGUACACCCCCACACACCUAACUAUUGCUAUCCUCCUCUAAUAAGUAAUGAUAAAUGAUGGUCAAUUUUUUUUUACUUUUUGUGUGUUUCUUCCUUUAUUUAUUUCAAAUACAAGUAUAGUUAGGAUAAAUUUUGGAGCAAAUUUGGAUGCUCAGAAUGCAGGAAAUGAGUUUCCGGGAGUCAAAUUUCAAAAAUUUUCUGGGGAGUACACCCCCAGACCCCCCAUUCAUGCGUGGUAUAUUUGCCACACACGUGGCUUUCAGCCAUUGCUAUCCCCCUCUAAUAUAUUAUCUCACAGAAAGGUCCCUUUUCAAAAAAUCCCCCCCCCCACGGGAAAAGCCUUAAAAAAGGCCCUGUUAUAAAAUAGUAAUUUUUAGAGCAUUUUGGAACGAUGGAAGGCCUAUUUUUAAAAAGCACAGUGAGUUAUCAGAGUUACUUAUAUAUAGAUUAGUUUUAGAGUGAAAGUUUGAGUGCAAAAUUCUGUUGCAGUUAGGCGUAAAAUAAUACUCAUUUUCUGUUCAGCGCGGCCGCGUGACUUUUAACUGCAUGUGCGCGUCAACGUAUUUUUAUAGUAGAUCUCAUUUCAUUCUAUUAAACCUAUAAAAUUUGUUUAAAUAUUAAAAAUAUAAUAUUAGAAAAGUUUAAUAUUAUAGGGAUAAAAAAAUCAUUACACACUUUAUAGAAACUAGAAAAUCACUCGCCCAGUUUUGAAAAACAGCCCCUCCUUCAUUAACAUCCUGUUUCUUAACCCUCCUUAACCGCCCCUGAAUACUGGGUUUUGAAGUAGUGUGAAUAUGAAUAUUGAUGGUAGGAAUAUGGAUCUUGAUGGUAGGAAUGUGAAUAUUAAGAGUAGUGGACAAGUCGUCGACAUGUUGUUUCGGAAUGUAUAGCCUAUAGGUAGGAAUAAUAAUUUGCAGUCGGCCUGGCUGACCAAUAGCGCUAAGGCUAGUUAAACCACGAGUCUCUCACUUUUAAGCACAUACAGACUUUCCCAAAGUCCUUUCUCUUUGUUUAUAUAAUUAGCAACAAAAACAAUGAAUCAGUCGAGGAAGUAAUUUGCGAAAUAGUGAGUAGGCCUAGACAGAUUGUGCAAGUAAAAGCUGCUCCAAAAAAAGUUUCUCCAAAAAAAAGUUGCUCAAAAGAAAAACGUUCUAUAUCUAAAAUGUCGCUCUUAAAAUUAAGUGUUUCUAAGCACAGGAAUUGUUUGGUUGCCUGCUUUAUUGGCUUAUUACAUCAACCCACAUCACGCGUACAGUUAUUUCAAACUUCAACGAGCAUGUAGCCUAUAUACGUCUGUUACAAGUAGAAUUAUCCCCCCCCUGCCCCAUAGGGACCAAAGGGAUGCGGCCGGGCGCACGCGUGACUCCCGCAUUGCAAACGGAGUGAAAUAGGAUAAUACUAUAAAGCGGAACCGAAUUACAUAAACACACAGAUUACACAGAUUAUUUUUUUGUCAGAUAUCUAUUAUUUCGAGUAUUUUAUUACUCUUUAAACGUAUAUGUAGAAUUAAUAAGAUUUAUUCAGUUCGAACAUUUCUAAGAUAAUAUCGCGACAAUAAUUUUAAUCAUUGCUUUGGCUCGUCUGCAUGUGGGAUUUCUCUGACCUAUAGAUCGCCCGCUUCAUGACUAUCAUGACAAUGACAACUCUGACUAUGACUAUGACUAUGAUUACAUGACUAUUAUACUAUGACUAUAUACUCCCAAGCCUUGAAAUAAAUAUUUUCAGCUGACGAACACUUUGUCCGGCAACUUUUUUGGUGCGCCGGACAAAAUUCCCGGACAUUAUGUUCCAGAUUUUGACAGCGCCGCACUAUGCGUAGUAAUCAGUAAUGACUUAUGUUAGAACGCUUACGUAUACGACAUAGUUAUCGCCGAACAUUUUAUGUGGCAAUAAAAAUCUAUCGGCGGACAAAAUGUCCGGCGGAUCGAACAUUUUGCCGGACAAAACCGAUUUUUGACGUUUUCAGCCGGACAAACGUCCGAUGUCCGGCGCUAUUUCAAGGCUUGACACCAAUGGGAUGUUUGGGAGUACUCCAUUGGGAUGUGUGGGGGUACCCGAAUGGGGUGUUUGUUUACUAUACAACUAUGGCUAUAUAUGACUACAUAACUAUAUGACUACAAUAUAUGACUACAUGAUUUUGACUAUAUGACUAUGACUACAUGACUAUGAUGACAUGACUAUAACUAUAUUGUCUAUAUAACUAUAUGAUAAUAUGGCUGACUGCAUGAUUGACUAUAUGACUAUUACUGUAUGAUUAUAGGCUAUUCUCCUCCUCCCCCCUCUGGUCUUCUCCUACAAACAUAACCACAUUUUCGCUACCGUUUUGGCUCGAAACGUAAAUGAACAAGUCGUCCUCUCGCUUGCGACUUCAUCGCUCGCAUUUGUCAGGUUUUUCUUCUGAUUUCAUUUCUCAACCAAAUUUAGUAGAGGUCGACUUGGAGUAAGUCUAUUAAGCACAUUGCCUGCAAUCCGUCAAGAUAUUACACAACUGCCUCACCCAACCACCCAACAAAAUAUCUAUAUGUCUGUAUGCCUGGUACCCAACCAACCCACCGACCCACAUCCUUCUUUUUGUAUUUUUUUAGGUUAGUGUUAUCAUGAUAGCAAUGAAUGCAGGAUAGCAUGAAUGCGUGGAUAGCAUUAUGUAUGCAUGAUAGCAGUAACUCUGUAACUGUAUAAUAACAUUGAAUACAUGAUAGCAGUGAAUGUGUGAUAGCAAUCACACAUUCCAUUGCUUUAUGCGAGUGACCUCUUUCCCUUGAAUUUCUUCAACUGUCACUAAUUUUUUUCUUCUUAAAAUUUAACAUGCUAGUACAAAAAGGCUAUUUUGGCGAACUAUCAGUAAAGAUGGCUUGCACACAAAAAUGCGAGGUUCAAAACGAACUAUCAUAAUCAAAGUAUGAACAAUUUGUUGUUACAAGUAAUCCACCGCUUGGCCGCCAAAUUUAAACUUGGACGUUUUGGGAUUUUCAACAUAAAUUGAAGAAUUAAUCAACAUGAAAUCAAUCAGUCCGGGAAAGACUUAUAAAUAAAUGUACAUAUUUUCUCGUUCUUUGUAAAAAUAAAAAACAGCUGUUUGGCACUUGGGAGUUUAAUUAGAGUACACUUUCAGACAAACAAACAGUAAAGUAGCUUAUAGGGAUUGCUGUUGCUUCGCAAAGGUGUGCAGAAUUUAAAUAUAAACAUGGAUCUUGCUUUGGUACGCAAAGAUCGAACAAACGUCACUGUCCAACAUAAACAAUAUCGCUUAUGUCCUUGAAUGCGAUGUUAACAACACUUACUAUAUCACAUGAAGAAAUACUGAAAUAGUAUGUGAAAAACACGAACAUAUACUGUAUAUAUAUUACAUAUUUUCAUAUAUAUCUCGCAAGCAGAGAAUUCCAAGAAAAUUCUGCCGGUAGCAGCUGGGUUUCGAACCCGCGCGAUCUUCUAAAUGCAAGCUCGACUCUCUUCUAAGGGACCGGUCAUAAAGUAGAGGGGGGGGUGGGCUAUGAAAAAUUGGGGGUGGGUCACUAUUUUUCAACACGUCGAAAAGGGUGGGUCAGGAAAAUUUAUGCACUGCAUUAGGGGUGGGUCAGGUAAAAUUAUUCACGUCUCACAAUUUAAUAAAUAGCAAAUAAAAACUUUUGCGAAAUCUCUUUAACCUAUUAACUUUAUAUAUUAAGCACAGGGGCGAAACUAGCCCCUUUUAAUUAGGGGGUGUCUGGCAGAAUUGCCCUGCCAAAACCAGUGAUGCCCUGCCAAAAAGUACCAAAAAAUUUUUUCCGGAAAAAUUAUUUUGGCGACCUCCCCGAUCGAAUAUUGCCCCCGCCCGGUACGCCUAUGUGCUAUCAUUUAUUUAUAAGAGACCUUUGAUUGCCCUGCCAAUCGGGACGAUUCGUAUUUUGGGGGGUGUAACACCCCCCCCACACCCCCCCUUAAGUUUCGCCCCUGAUUAAACAACAGGAAUUCACAUUUGUAUACAGUACAUUGGGAAGUGUUCUAGUUACCGUAGUCUACUCAAUGUCAGGGCCGUAGCAACCGGGGGGCUGGGGGGCUGCAGCCCCCCCAAUAAUUCGCUAAUAAUCAUUCUUUUUUCAAAAUCAUGCAAACUUUAUCAUUUAAUCUGUGACAAACUGCAAAGAAUGAAGAUAUUACUCAUACUCCAGAUCGUUCCUCGCGUAGAAAUUUUAGCUGAAUUUCUGUCGCGCAUUUUCAAGAAAAUCCCACAAAAUCUGCACAUUUUGAUGAACUAAUGAUUUAUUUUGUCUUUUGCGUGUUGGGUCUUGCGAAAGAAAACUCUGAAAAUGCCAUUUCAGACCAUCUAGAGACUCCAGAUUUUCGAAAUUUUCUCAAAUGUUCUGCCUUCAUUUCCGCGCAACUGCCAUUUACGACGAAAAUUCCCGCCGUGCAUUUAUAAUACUACAGUCUGGCCCAUACUUUCCUGUAAAUUUCGACAUACUAAAACGCUGUUUUCUGACUAUCAGAAUUCUGUUAAAUCUUCCCCCAAAGUCCAGGAAAUGGCAUUUUAGAGACUCUAAAUUUAAAAAUUUGCUCGGGCCUUCGGCCCUCGCUUUCAGCCCCCCCAAUCGAAAAGAGCUUCCUACGGCCCUGAAUGUACUGUCAUGCAUUAUGUUUGGACAUAGUUGAAUUAUGUUCAAGAGUCGGGCGGCGUGUUACAACAUUUCAAUCUCGGAGAUUUUUCGGGGAUUCUGCCUAAACUAGUAAAGAAUCGUGGUAAGCCAAUGCUGCCAACGUACGCGCACCUAUCUACAUUACCGUACAGUACAUUAUCUACAUGACGGGGGGGGUCACUAAGAUUUCUGCUCUAAUCUAGGGGUGGGCCACCUCAAUUUAUUGUCACAAUUUGGGGGUGGGUCACUGUAAACCAGUCUUUAAAAAAUCAAUUUUCAUAGCCCCCCCCCCCCCCCUCUACUUUAUGACCGGUCCCUAACUGAGCUACAUACGGUCAAAGGCCGAUAAAGGACAGGAAAUUAUGAAUUCGAACUUUGUACUUAAAAUUGUAAAAUACUAGUUCUGCGAGUGCCAUAUGAUGAUAUACACUCACUUCAUGCAUCCUAUCAUAUUACAGAGUGAACAAUAUCACAACAUCAUAUAUUUAACCACUGUUGGUCACAUAACCACUGUAAUGCUAAACAGACGUGCUCGAUAUCACAUAGAUAGAGCUAAAGGUUGCCAAAUGCAACUAUACCUACAAGGAAAACCGAAAACGUCGACGUUUCGAGCGAAGGCCGCCAAGAGGAAUCAUCAGGUGAUUCCUCGGUGAUUAUACAUUUGUACGCCUUUUCGGGGUUCACAAUGUAAUUGGGGCAAACACAAUGGUAAAACUAUUGCCUCGUCCCAAUGGGAAUUUUUGUGACGACACUAUAGGGUCAUGCUAUUAUUGCUCUAAUUGUGUUUGCCCCACUCGGCAAAGGCGUAUUGUCGAAAUUCGCACCUUCAUUGUGUGAAAGUCCAAUGGCCAAAUAUGUAAUCAUAACCACAGAUCCAGCAAGCAUGAACACACCAGCGGCAAUCAUAUAUAUACGAAAGCAUUGUGAACUUAUCACACGCUUUACAUCACGGUAAACAGAACGAUUUGCUUGGACAUAGAGUAAUGCAACGAACGCGGAUAUGGCUGCCCAAACAGCCGCAUUUAUGUUGUCAUAUUUCGUAGCAAACACAGCACAGCCACAUAUCCCGGCAGACAUACCAAUUACACCAUGAACUACCUUAAGAACAAUCCUCACUUUACUUUCCAUUGCGUUUUUGAAAUAUCUUCUCAACUAUUUUAAAUUACCUAUACUUCGUGAUCGGCCAGCACUCAAACCAAAAUAACAAAUAAAACUAUAAAUCCUGUUCUUACAAUAUAUACUCGCUUGAAACUUG